RNAcentral lists this ribosomal RNA (253 nucleotides) under uncultured bacterium. Its description in RNAcentral is "partial 16S ribosomal RNA". It matches the Rfam family "Bacterial small subunit ribosomal RNA", at positions 524 to 776 of the family's 1533-position model. The record is from RNAcentral.
CACGUAGGAGGCGAGCGUUGUCCGGAAUCAUUGGGCGUAAAGAGCGCGCAGGCGGCCCGGCAAGUCGGGUGUGAAAUCCCGGGGCUCAACCCCGGGACUGCAUUCGAUACUGUCGGGCUAGAGGUAGGUAGAGGAGAUCGGAAUUCCUGGUGUAGCGGUGAAAUGCGCAGAUAUCAGGAGGAACACCGGUGGCGAAGGCGGAUCUCUGGGCCUUACCUGACGCUCAGGCGCGAAAGCUAGGGGAGCGAACAGG